Molecule: long non-coding RNA, 1545 nt
Organism: Anas platyrhynchos (mallard)
Lineage: Eukaryota; Metazoa; Chordata; Aves; Anseriformes; Anatidae
Source: RefSeq, a predicted model, not a curated record
CCUUUCUUAACUAAUCCUGUCACUGUAAAAUCCUACAGUCAUUCUUCCACACAUAAAGGGAAAACGGACUCACUAGGAGGACCUAGACUCUUUCAGCUUGAACUGUUAACCAAUGGUGGAAAUGCAAGAAUGCUGAAGUUGUGCCUUCAGAGCCAAUAGAGUGGAUUUGUGUGUCCCACAUGACUGUGUUUCCCCUGUCUUUCACAUGGGCAGUAUUUAGUUCAAUUCAGAACUGCAGAUAGUAUAGCGUGCAGAGCAGCAAUGGGAUGUCUGAGCACAAGUGGCUGACUUCCAGGCGACUUCAAGAAGUGCAUUUGUACAUUUCUCCCGAAUUAAAUUGGAAUUCUGCACCCGUGACAUCCUCCUACCCUCCUGGUCUCUGCGGAAGGAGACAGCGACCUGCGCAGCACAACAAAACUACAAAUCAUCACAGAGCUGCAGAAGAGCAAACAAAGUGAGCCGAGGGCAAUUCGACCGUCUUUCUCUGUCAGUUCCCCAGAAGUCGAUGAAGCAUAUUACUGGGUCUCCAAGCUUUCAGAGUCCUGUAAGAACAGAGUGGGAGAAACACUGGAGCUGAACAUCUAGAUACACUUCUAAAGAUGUUUGGAAAACUGCCAGCUUCUUGCACGAAGGUUGAAACAGGAUGGGCAGAAAAGGGUGCUGGUGUGGACAUUUAAGGACGCUGUCAAGUCAAUGGAGUUCUGUUGUAGUGGUUGCUUCAGUGAACAUUCAACGCUGUCGGCCUUCACACCGAAGAUAGAAACCUAACCAGCACAUGAGGUUUCUCUCCCACCCUGCCAAGCUUUACAAAAAAAAGGUCACAAUCAACAUUCAUUGCUGUCGGUGGGUUUAACUAUGUGGACAAGCUCACUGAACAAUGAAUGCAACUGUGGCCCCACAUUUUACAGUUGCCAUUGAGAGGAACAUCAGCUCUGAAAGGAGUAGUAAGAAGCAAACACUUCUUAUAGGCUACAUUUUUUCUGGUCAAAAAAUAGUUGAGGAUACUCAGUUUUCACUACCUUGUUUUUUAAGUGUUUAAUUCUGUUGACUGAAAAAACACUGCUGCCUUCUUCUGGAAUAUUGUCCUUGCAGGGUUUGGCAUGGUUGAAACCAUAAAAAUCCUUGUUUAAUAUGUAUGUAGAAGCAAAUAAUAAGGAACUUUGUGUAUAUGCACUCCUAGAGAUUCAGCAUAGGAGGAAAGGGUAUUUAAAUCUCAUCUAAACUAGGCAUUGUGGAACAGUUCACAAAAAUGCCUUUUAUACUCAUCAAGACAAAAAUAGAAAUGAAAGCUGGAAUUAAAAUAGACGGCUGAUGUAUCAAAAAAUCAGUUCUGUAUAAAAUUAAUCUUAUGCACCUAAAUAAACAGUGUUAGCAAAUGUUAGAUUUACCUUUUCUACUGGUCAGAGGGAUUACAGAAAUAGAUGUAUAUCCGUAAUUAUAAUUGAACAAUAAACAGUUACACUGUAAAAUUACUGUAUACUUCGGGUACCAAUGUCACACUUAGUACUGCUAAUAAUAAGAAGAAAAUAAACAAAGUUAAAGAUC